This 301-nucleotide ribosomal RNA is filed under the name uncultured bacterium. Its description in RNAcentral is "partial 16S ribosomal RNA". It matches the Rfam family "Bacterial small subunit ribosomal RNA", at positions 509 to 807 of the family's 1533-position model. The record is from RNAcentral.
CAGCCGCCGCGGUAAUACGGAGGGUGCAAGCGUUAAUCGGAAUUACUGGGCGUAAAGCGCACGCAGGCGGUCUGUCAAGUCAGAUGUGAAAUCCCCGAGCUUAACUUGGGAACUGCAUUUGAAACUGGCAAGCUAGAGUCUUGUAGAGGGGGGUAGAAUUCCAGGUGUAGCGGUGAAAUGCGUAGAGAUCUGGAGGAAUACCGGUGGCGAAGGCGGCCCCCUGGACGAAGACUGACGCUCAGGUACGAAAGCGUGGGGAGCAAACAGGAUUAGAUACCCGUGUAGUCCCUGUCUCUUAUAC